AGCAGCCGCGGUAAUUCCAGCUCCAAUAGCGUAUAUUAAAGUUGUUGCAGUUAAAAAGCUCGUAGUUGAAUUUCGGGAUUGACGUGAUGGUCGUGCCUUAAGGGGUAUGAACUGUCGCUGUUGAUUUCUCACCUUCUGGAGAAACUUGAUGUCCUUAAUUGGGUGUCUUGCGGAUCCAGGACCUUUACCUUGAAAAAUUAGAGUGUUUAAAGCAGGCAUUUUUGCUCGAAUACAUUAGCAUGGAAUAAUAGAAUAGGACGGCAUGGUUCUAUUUUGUUGGUUUCUAGGAUCACCGUAAUGAUUAAUAGGGAUAGUUGGGGGCAUUAGUAUUCAAUUGUCAGAGGUGAAAUUCUUGGAUUUAUUGAAGACUAACUACUGCGAAAGCAUUUGCCAAGGAUGUUUUCAUUAAUCAAGAACGAAAGUUAGGGGAUCGAAGACGAUCAGAUACCGUCGUAGUCUUAACCAUAAACUAUGCCGACUAGGAAUCAGA
Molecule: unclassified non-coding RNA, 490 nt
Filed under: uncultured Glomus
Lineage: Eukaryota; Fungi; Glomeromycota; Glomeromycetes; Glomerales; Glomeraceae
Description: SSU rRNA
Rfam family: Eukaryotic small subunit ribosomal RNA
Source: RNAcentral